UCUCAGUUGACUUGUGGCAGAAGUACAAUAGUUCCCAGGUCCUUGAGUCACAUCCUUUUAGUAAUUUAGGUCUCCUUUGUGUAGAAGUACUUGUAAAAUGCCACUCCAAAAAUAUUUGUAAUAUUUUAACAGUCUUAAUAUUUAAUAUGUAUCACCCUACUCCAUCAGUUCUUGUCAUUGGUCAAGGAAAGCCUGAUAUAAAAACCAGAUAAAGGUCUAAACCAUCAUUCAGCCUCAUCUUAUAGUCUAAUAGUGGAAAUAAGAUAAAUUAUAACUGCCAAGAUCAUCACUUUUCAGAGCAUAGUAAAUAAGGAUAAAAGCAAGUUACUGUAGGUGUCCAGCCUCCAGAAAAUCUUAUUUCCCCCGCUCCUCUCAGUCCAGAAUACCUCUGAUUCUUCUAGAUGAAACCCAGUUUAAAUGCCCGAUGAACAGGUUGAUAAACAUCUGCCUGAGCAGGGACUGCUUCAACAGAGAAGAGAGGUUGCUGCUGUGAGAGCCCGCCGCUUCAGAAUACAUUCACCAGUGAGCAUAACAUACAGCUGCAGAGCAGGAUCAUUCAAUGGUAGAGGGAAAGCACACAGCUGCAGAAGGAUAACAGCAAGGUAUUAGAAAAGCCCAGCAUGGAGAAAACAUUGGCAUGUUCAAGGAAAUUAUCCUGACUAAAAGAACAGAGGCAUCAGCAAAAGAUUCCAACUUAUACAGAUAUCUUCAAUCAAUCCUUUCCACAAAUCAUUGCAAAAAAGAAUCAGAAGAAUGCAUUAAUAAAUUACUGGACUACACUGCACAAAGGGGUGAAGUACACAUCCCAGGGCAGUCAUAACUGUUGGCUAUAUCCCGUUCUGGACAGUUUCAAGGCCUUAGCCCUUUUUGAAGGAAAAUAGUCUGACCUCCACAUUGUAACUGUAUAUCCUGACUCAGUUGUAUUUGUAAUACUGGAAAGUCUUUACAGUGAUACAGUGAAGACUUUACCACCUAGAGAUGGCUCUCAGUCAGUACAGUAGUGAAAUACAACUGAAAAAGCUAUUUUUCUCAUUUUCGCUGGAAGCCAAUGAGUUUUAAUAAUUGUGAAAUACCAAAAUCAAGUACUAGGCAUAACACUGAUUACUUGUUUUUCAGGAUAAUUUAGCCUACUCAAUUGUUUCAUCCUAGCUUUUCAACGCUGGCAGUAGAGUAAAAGGAAUCUAUUUGGAUAAAACAACAACAGAGUUGAACUGAACUUGUUUGCAGCAUUGUUGUAGCCAUCCUGGGACAAGCAUAUUGGUGGGACAAAAUAAUAUAUUUCAUUAGUGAACGAGACAAGCUUUUGAACUACGCAGAACA
Mauremys mutica (yellowpond turtle) is the source of this 1320-nucleotide long non-coding RNA. RefSeq lists it as uncharacterized. NCBI's taxonomy places the organism in Eukaryota, Metazoa, Chordata, Testudines, Geoemydidae. The record is from RefSeq and is a predicted model, not a curated record. The transcript is spliced from 4 exons.